RNAcentral lists this ribosomal RNA (253 nucleotides) under uncultured bacterium. RNAcentral's name for it is "partial 16S ribosomal RNA". It matches the Rfam family "Bacterial small subunit ribosomal RNA", at positions 524 to 776 of the family's 1533-position model. The record is from RNAcentral.
UACGUAGGGGGCAAGCGUUGUCCGGAAUUAUUGGGCGUAAAGGGUAGGUAGGUGGUCUCAUUUGUCUGGGGUGAAAGCCUUGAGCUUAACUCAAGAAGUGCCCCGGAAACGGUGAGACUGGAGUCUUGGAGAGGGUCGUGGAAUUCCCGGUGUAGCGGUGAAAUGCGUAGAGAUCGGGAGGAACACCAGAGGCGAAGGCGGCGACCUGGACAAGUACUGACACUCAACUACGAAAGCGUGGGGAGCAAACAGG